RNAcentral lists this ribosomal RNA (492 nucleotides) under uncultured bacterium. RNAcentral's name for it is "partial 16S ribosomal RNA". It matches the Rfam family "Bacterial small subunit ribosomal RNA", at positions 29 to 507 of the family's 1533-position model. The record is from RNAcentral.
AGUGAACGCUGGCGGUAGGCCUAACACAUGCAAGCCGAACGGCAGCACAGUAAGAGCUUGCUCUUACGGGUGGCGAGUGGCGGACGGGUGAGGAAUACAUCGGAAUCUACUUUUUCGUGGGGGAUAACGUAGGGAAACUUACGCUAAUACCGCAUACGACCUACGGGUGAAAGCAGGGGAUCUUCGGACCUUGUGCGAUUGAAUGAGCCGAUGUCGGAUUAGCUAGUUGGCGGGGUAAAGGCCCACCAAGGCGACGAUCCGUAGCUGGUCUGAGAGGAUGAUCAGCCACACUGGAACUGAGACACGGUCCAGACUCCUACGGGAGGCAGCAGUGGGGAAUAUUGGACAAUGGGCGCAAGCCUGAUCCAGCCAUACCGCGUGGGUGAAGAAGGCCUUCGGGUUGUAAAGCCCUUUUGUUGGGAAAGAAAAGCAGCAGGUUAAUACCCCGCUGUUCUGACGGUACCCAAAGAAUGAGCACCGGCUAACUUCGUG